Molecule: long non-coding RNA, 240 nt
Filed under: Parus major (Great Tit)
Lineage: Eukaryota; Metazoa; Chordata; Aves; Passeriformes; Paridae
Description: lncRNA (ENSPMJG00000013185.1)
Source: RNAcentral
GGUCAACUGCCAACCAACCAAGUGCUCUGUCCUGCUCGCACAAAGCUUUCCCUGAAGGAAGGAACCUUCAGUGGCCAUGGAAACCAAAAUGCCACACAAAAGCCAGAGGGUGCUUGGGAGACACCUAGCAGGAUGAAACAACUGGAAACAAUGGCACUCAGUAAGGAAACCUUUUCCAUCAAGAAGUCUUGGAGCAGUUACGUGAAAACUGGUUUUGAUUUGGUGAUGGGAAAAACCUAA